CGAGCCACUGCCUGUUCACCCCGCUAUCAUCCAGAAGGCGAGAGCCUUUCCAUAUGUCCACUCAAGUUUCUUCAACUGUCUCCUGACUGUGAAUAGAGCAAUGGUGAUGUUGUGGGGUGAUGCCAGCAGAUUCCAGAUUGCUUUUGCCGAUCGCUCAUCAUCUUCAACCGUCAGUGAGUCGAUGGCUUGAACAGUCUCGCUGGAAAUGGAAUACAAAGUAAAAAUGUGCAGCAUACAGUAAAGACCAGCAGUCGAUUUAUUUAAGCAUUAUUUAUAGCAUUAUUAUGCCUACUUUACAGGAUUGUAGCCUACUGUACCUGUUCCUUUUCCUGGGCUUUCGGGUAACACAGGCACCUGAUGAUAGUGUUUUCGAAUAGCACUGACCGUGACCAUAAUCUCCAGAUCUAACAGUAUUUUGCUGACAUGUUUAAUUAUUCAAGGCUCCUUUCUCUUCUCUGUUUGGGAGUUCUGUUAAGAAUACAAAAGAAGAGACCCUUGAUGGGCUAUCAUCCGGACAAUAGACUCUUACCGAGAGUAGGGACUUUAAAUGUAUUAAUGGAUGUUUGUAAGGCAUGUCACUUCUCCCAUCUCUUUUGCAUAGCCUACCAAAUGCAUUGUUUUCUAACCACAUCUGGUGGAUUCAUAACAAAUUACUAUGGGAAUAAAUAUCACUGAAUGACAGAAAUAUUGGAUUAAAUUAGGCGAAUGAAGGCAACAAAUUGUUGCUUACUGGAACACCCAAAGUAAUCCAAUUGUUAUAACAGGAUUUGGAGCAACUGUUUCAGCACCGUUUCGCACUGCUCUGAGACAAGCAUGGGGACUGGACUUGAUAAACAAUGAGAUUUUUAUUUUCACUGAAUAUCUGUCUGGGUAUUGGUUAGCUAACAAUUAGGGUGUGGAAAUUUUAGGAUUAUUUUGCUCUUCACUCGCUGUCACUUAGUAGCCUCGGCCUACUCCCGACCGGUCACUUGUACAGUGCCAAAAAACACAGCGGAAAUAUCACAUUUACAUAAGUAGUCAGAACCUUCACUCAGAACUUUGUUUAUUAAAGCACCUUUGGCAGCGAU
Molecule: long non-coding RNA, 1067 nt
Organism: Oncorhynchus tshawytscha (Chinook salmon)
Lineage: Eukaryota; Metazoa; Chordata; Actinopteri; Salmoniformes; Salmonidae
Exons: 2
Source: RefSeq, a predicted model, not a curated record